CAGCUCGUAAUGGACCGCUCGUCAUGCCUUCCCGUCAGCCAUCCCGCACGCACCAGUCGCCGCCCUGUUUCUUCUCCGCUGCCGCUACGCCGUCGGUAGGAGUCCCGGCGGCCUAACAACGGCCCGGCGACGCCCCUCCGUUCCGCGCCGGCAGCACCCUCCCAAUUUGGCGACCUCAUUUGGGGCGGGUUGCCGCCUGCCGGCAAUGGCGUCAGAUCCAGGUGGAAGCGGCGGCGGCCCGGCAACGACCUGGCUGGGGCCCCUUUCCUCUUCUCAACAUACCUCGUAUGGAGCGGCAGAUCCCGGCGGCAGGACAGCCAUGGUGAGGACCGACCCGCGCACGGGAGGCCAGGUCGUGCUGUCCCGCGGAUUAGGCUGUCAAGCGAUUCUGGUUUGCAGGGGAUGAAACCUUCUGGCAGGUUCUGGGCAUGAUGCGCUCACUUAAGCAGCCGGCAGGGUAGAUUUAAUAUCUGGCCUACCAGCUUCAACUGAAUGAGUUCAAUAUUUCGUGCAGCAUGCAGCAAACAAACACUCUGCAGCUGCCGGUGCAUUUGAAGAUGCCAACGACGUGCUGCAAACAGCGUCUCGUUGGACAAGGACUGGAACUGUUUCCCUGCUAUAUAUAUCACCACAUGAAUGAGGCAGGGAAAAUGGAAUGUGCUACAAAGAGCUUCAGCCUAGAGGAAAAGCAUAGCAGAAAACCUAUGUUUGUGUUACAUCAUUCUAAGGCAUUAUUGUACUUCCGUUAUAUUGACUUAAUAGUAAUCUGGCCAUCACAAUUUUAUAGUCACUUGAUCACGCCAUGUUGAUAAAUACCUUGUAUCGAUUGAUUCACUGUUAUGGUAAAACGAUGCUGCUGCAUUGUGGUAACCCAUCAUAUGAGUUCUGGUACAAUACUGAAUGCAGUGUAGUAAAUUGGAUUCCAGUAAACUGGGUAUUGUUUUGUA
RNA transcript from Setaria italica (foxtail millet), 947 nucleotides. RefSeq lists it as uncharacterized. The record is from RefSeq and is a predicted model, not a curated record. The transcript has 2 exons. NCBI's taxonomy places the organism in Eukaryota, Viridiplantae, Streptophyta, Magnoliopsida, Poales, Poaceae.